CCCUUAGAUGUUCUGGGCUGCACGCGUGCUACACUGAUAUUGCCAAUAUGUCAUUCUUAUCCGAAAUGGAUUGGGUAAUCAAGUAAUGAAAUUUCAUGCUUGGAAUCGGUAAUUGCAAUUUUAUCGUGAACGAGGAAUUCCUAGUAAGCACUAGUCAUCAGCUAAUGUUGAUUAUGUCCCUGCCCUUUGUACACACCGCCCGUCGCUACUACUGAUUGGGUGUUCAAGUGAGAUGCUUAGACCCUUGUUGCAUGGUUCAUUAUUGUGCUCCGAAAGGAAAAAGUUUCAAGCUUGAGUGUCUAGAGGAAGUAAAAGUCGUAACAA
This 324-nucleotide ribosomal RNA is filed under the name uncultured eukaryote. Its description in RNAcentral is "partial 18S ribosomal RNA". It matches the Rfam family "Eukaryotic small subunit ribosomal RNA", at positions 1470 to 1797 of the family's 1831-position model. The record is from RNAcentral.